This is a long non-coding RNA of Helicoverpa zea (corn earworm), 691 nucleotides long. RefSeq lists it as uncharacterized. The transcript has 3 exons. NCBI's taxonomy places the organism in Eukaryota, Metazoa, Arthropoda, Insecta, Lepidoptera, Noctuidae. The record is from RefSeq and is a predicted model, not a curated record.
UUCGCUAUUGGUGGAUUAAAAAUUGACGUAGAGCAAGAGCAAGAACUUGACAAACUUGGCAGUUGACACUGACAGACUAGUUUAUGUUUUCGUCGGUUUUCUGCCUGCGCCAUGUAUUGAAUUGACUGAAUUUCCGAGGUUUUCUGAAUAAAUAAAACUAAAAUACUGUUAAUUAUAAGCUAGAGCUUUUAUAACUGAUGUCAAACUAUUGUGACGUUACCGCGAUUUCCAACAAGGGCAUACAACCUUUUUGGUGAUCAUGCUGGACGGUAGCUUGAUGGAUAUGGUUCUGACUACUCUGGGCGUACUAUUGAGUAUGGCGAUGUUAAGCUGUUUAUGCUGUAUUUGUAUGAAAUUCAGUGACCGCAAGAUGAAGAGUUAUGUAGUGGAAAUGGCUAAAAAGAAGGGUAUUAAAGUGGAUUUAGAUAAACUGGAUCCAAAAUACAAACAAUGUGAGUCGCCACAGUUAAACGAGAACUGCACAAUAAUGAUACCAGAUGUUGCCAUUGUUCUUUAGCUUAACCUGCUUGGUCAGCAUUAUUUUUUAAAGCAGUAUACUGUUUUGGGAUACCCAUAGAUUUAGGAUCCCACUAUUGUUCCAAAGAUUAUGUAGGAUAUAUUAUGUGGGAUGAGUCUAAAACAUAGGCACUUUAACAAAAACUAGCAACAUCUCGAAAAAUGUUUUAAAUUU